Molecule: ribosomal RNA, 1233 nt
Filed under: Triticum aestivum (bread wheat)
Lineage: Eukaryota; Viridiplantae; Streptophyta; Magnoliopsida; Poales; Poaceae
Description: partial small subunit ribosomal RNA
Source: RNAcentral
AUGAGCAUCUCGGUGAACGGUCAAUCGUGUGUGCCGCCGGGGUUCCGUUUCCACCCAACGGAGGAAGAGCUCCUCAACUAUUACCUCCGCAAGAAGGUCGCCUCCGAGGAGAUCGACCUCGACGUGAUCCGCGACGUUGAUCUCAACAAGCUCGAGCCAUGGGAUAUCCAAGAGAAAUGUAAGAUCGGCUCGGGUCCUCAGAACGACUGGUACUUCUUCAGCCACAAGGACAAGAAGUACCCAACGGGAACGCGGACGAACCGGGCGACGGCGGCCGGGUUCUGGAAGGCCACCGGCCGCGACAAGGCUAUUUACAACGCCGUCAAACGCAUCGGCAUGCGCAAGACGCUCGUCUUCUACAAGGGCCGUGCUCCCCAUGGCCAGAAGUCCGACUGGAUCAUGCACGAGUACCGCCUCGACGACCCUUCUUCCACCACGGACGCCGCCCCCACCGCCACCAUGCCUUUGUCUUUGGAUGCCGCCGUGCGUCAUGCUCAGGUUGUCAGUGCCGCCACAUCGUCGGACGCCGGCCAGGAGGACGGCUGGGUGGUGUGCAGAGUGUUCAAGAAGAAGCACCACCACAAGGAUGCGGGGGCCGGAAGUGGCAAGCGCGGCGGCGGGGGAAGAGACGAUGGGGGCAAGGCGGCACGCUCCUCCUCGCCGCUCUACUCCAGCGACGAUGCGCUUGACCAGAUCCUGCACUACAUGGGCCGCUCGUGCAAGCAGGAGCACGAGCUUUCCUCGCCGCGCCCGAGAACGGCCGCGUCGCGGUAUCUGCGGCCCCUCGAGACGGUUCUCGGCGGCCACGGUUUCAUGAAGCUGCCACCGCUGGAGAGCCCCUCGGCGGCGGCCACGGCGCGGACGUCGACUACGACGCCGCUCGCGGCGAGCGGAGAUGGAAAUGUCGAGCGCGAGCUGGCGCACGCCGAGGACCUGCACCAACCCCACCGCGACGGCGGGAUCACGGACUGGGCCAUGAUGGACCGGCUAGUCGCGUCCCACCUCAAUGGCCAGCACGACGCGUCCACAGACCAGCUCUGCUUCGACGGCACCGCCGGCCAUGCAGGCGGCAACGACGCCCUCGACGACACGGCCGUCAACGGGCUUGCCUUCUACUCCGCCGCGGCCACAAGGCUUCUCGGAGGGGCCGCCGCCGGUAGCAGCGACGACGACCUGUGGAGCUUCGCCCGAUCUGCGGCGUCGUCGGAGCGGCUGAGCCAUGUGUCACCGUAA